Long non-coding RNA from Larimichthys crocea (large yellow croaker), 508 nucleotides. RefSeq lists it as uncharacterized. NCBI's taxonomy places the organism in Eukaryota, Metazoa, Chordata, Actinopteri, Sciaenidae. The transcript has 3 exons. The record is from RefSeq and is a predicted model, not a curated record.
GCUCAGACAUUUAUGUUGCUCAAAUGUAAUUAUCUAAGAGAAGUUCAUUUCUUGCAGGAAAUGUGAAACUGACAUUAUUCUGUGCUGUUUGUUGCAUAUCAUGUACUUGUAAAGCCUCAUUCUAAUGUGUGUGUAUCCUUUCAGUGUAAUGUGGCAAACCAAGACCAUAACUACAGCAGUAAAAGACAAAUUUCUGUACGUCGGUCAGAGAGGACAAAGAAGCCUGCAGCUCACAGACAGUGUCCAUGCUGCAGGGACAACCAGCACCAGCACUCUGCUACACCUACUAGCCUGCCCCAGAAGAGGAAGCGGACCUCUGUAGCCCGUCCUUCCCAGCCUUCUCCUGGGCAUCCAGAGCUGCUGAGUCAAGCUUCCACUGCUUCUACCAGCUCGUUGGACUUGGUCCCAAGUUGCCAACAUGAUUUGUUGAGGUACAAGAAUGGACACCCGCGUCCAUACACUUUAGAGCUGGGACGUCGGAUCAAAACCGAGCUGUGGGAGCGACUGG